RNAcentral lists this ribosomal RNA (503 nucleotides) under uncultured bacterium. RNAcentral's name for it is "partial 16S ribosomal RNA". It matches the Rfam family "Bacterial small subunit ribosomal RNA", at positions 30 to 523 of the family's 1533-position model. The record is from RNAcentral.
AUUGAACGCUGGCGGCAGGCUUAACACAUGCAAGUCGAGCGGGGUGAUGGUGCUUGCACUAUCACUUAGCGGCGGACGGGUGAGUAAUGCUUAGGAAUCUGCCUAUUAGUGGGGGACAACAUCUCGAAAGGGAUGCUAAUACCGCAUACGUCCUACGGGAGAAAGCAGGGGAUCACUUGUGACCUUGCGCUAAUAGAUGAGCCUAAGUCGGAUUAGCUAGUUGGUGGGGUAAAGGCCUACCAAGGCGACAAUCUGUAGCGGGUCUGAGAGGAUGAACCGCCACACUGGGACUGGGACACGGCCCAGACUCCUACGGGAGGCAGCAGUGGGGAAUAUUGGACAAUGGGGGGAACCCUGAUCCAGCCAUGCCGCGUGUGUGAAGAAGGCCUUAUGGUUGUAAAGCACUUUAAGCGAGGAGGAGGCUCUUUUGGUUAAUACCCAAGAUGAGUGGACGUUACUCGCAGAAUAAGCACCGGCUAACUCUGUGCCAGCCGCCGCCGUAA